GCGAGAUAAAAAAAUAACCCACCCGCACAACCUCACGACCCCAAUCCUAUCUCCGCCUCCGCCACCUCGUGCAACGUGACGCCCCCGCCGCUGCGCGCCGCCGGCCCUCCCCUCUCCGCCCCCCACCCCCUUGCAUGGCUUCCAGGGUUGGAUCUGCCGGCUGCCCGAUCGAUUUUGCCUUGAACGCGAACAUGAGCUCGCGGGCGCCGCCGCAUCUGCUCUGACGGAAGGAGCGGGAGAUGCGCUGCUGGAGGCCGUGAUCGGGGGAAGACGGCGGGGAGUAUGAUGAGGUCGGGGAGGAGAGGUUGGAGGGGUGGACGCGGGAGUCAAGCCGCCACGAACGGCGAGUCAACUACACGUGCCUCAUAUCCCUCCGCUCCAUGGUGCUCCUCCUCGCUUUGCGGUCGCGGAAUCCAGACAAGAUCGGCAGGAUCCGCUCCCGGGCGAGGUUUUUCUCUCUAUAAGUCGCUGCCUCGACCCAUGGGAACUCCGACGGACGGUUCACAUGCCGGCAGCCGGCGGGACGGCGGAUCGGCUCCAACCGCCUCCACCCUCACCUCCUCCACGACCUACAAAGGCAGGACGCCCGAGAUCAGAGAAGAUGUUACUAUUUUUUUAGAAAGGAAAGUAGGAUUUGAACGCCAUCCGCGAGUCAUCCAUCUGAGAGGUACCCCAUCCUAUAAGAUGAGUACUAGAUUUUGUAUAAUCAGAUCAUGAACGAUGACCUUGCUGUUGUAAUUCUCAGUGUGUACUUUUGCUAUUGUACUAUUGCUUGAGAAUCUGGGCUGGAUUUAUGAUAGUUAGUAAUUAUGUGAUUUGUAUUUAUGUGUUGUUAGUUUGAUCCAAUUGGAACUUCUUACUGUUCAAGAAUGAUGCUUCAUGAUGUAAAGAUGUUCACUUUAAGUGGGAGCCGUGAAGGGCCUAAUCUGUGCACUCUUAAGUUUCAGAAAUAUUGUAGUGUCCAUAUAGAGUACAAGAUCUGACCAAUGUGGAGGCGUGGAGCAGACUGACAAAGGAAUUACACAGGCUCAUGCCUUUAUUCUCCAUGUUUGCUUCUUGUUCAUCUCCAUGAACAAAUAAGCUCAUCAACAAGUUCCCGUUUGUCCCUGUCUGAUUCAAGUCUGAAAGAUUCAUAUUUGGGUAGAUAGGUUUCAGUGAUUGAAAACAUUUUAGAUGAGGUUGUGCAUCUCUGGUGAAAUCAAGAAGCUCCUUGCUGUCAGGAAAGAAUUUUGUGCAAAGGCUGCUUCACUCAAGCAGGAGCUGAGUGGGGAGAGAUAAGAUAAACAACAUUUGAGAUUUAAGCAUGUUGAAAGCAGAGAUUGAUGACCUUCAACAGAAACUUACUCACUCAAGGUACAUACACUAUCUCUUUCAUUGGACCUGACCCUUGGGCGUCCCAUUAACACAUUUGUUUGUAAGAAUGCGUGGUAAUUAUAGCAAAAGGGGAAUUUUGAGUUGGUGGUACAAAGGAAAGUAAUGGAAAAGAGGGUGAUUUGGAUGGCCACGCAAGAAAUUCAGCAAACGCCGACCAAAUUAGCUAAUUUUGAUGGGAGACCAUUGGGAACAUAUGUCCACGCCACCCACAUCCACCCGGCAACUGCCUGUGUCGGCUGCCAUCGUCGGUCUACCACAAGCCCAUGACGUACCCAUCCGCAUCUGCAUCGCCUUGAGGCCACAGCAGCACCCCUGCCCUCCUGCCCCUGCUGGCAGCCGUGACCCUCGGCAUAUUGGUGCAGCAACAUCCCAUGUGUUGGCCUCGCUGUCUCAUCUCCUCUCUCUUAUGUUUGGGUCUGAUGUUAGUGUGAUGUGUGUGGGGAUGGAUAUGAGGCUAUCAUGGUGUGUAAAAAUUAUAUUUUUGGUGUAUUUGUCUUCAGAGUAUUGAAUCAAGGGUUGAACAAUGUAAUUAUCGAGCAUGACUAUGCGGAGGUAGUAAACAAUUAGUGUAAUGGGUUAAAUAGAUAUCAUGUUGGCCCUUCUGUUCAGGAAAUUAGGGAGAUGUGUACGAGUAAUAUUCAGGUGGAGUUGUUUGA
Molecule: long non-coding RNA, 2030 nt
Organism: Triticum aestivum (bread wheat)
Lineage: Eukaryota; Viridiplantae; Streptophyta; Magnoliopsida; Poales; Poaceae
Exons: 3
Source: RefSeq, a predicted model, not a curated record